UUCAGAGUCCAGGUCAUAAAGGGCACUGUAGCCUCACCUUGUACAUCUUAGCUCUCUCACUGUAGCCAAAGCCAGCCGCCGUGUCAGCAGAAUACUCCAGCAGCCCUGUGGAGAACUGAGGCCUCCCUCCAACAGCCAGCACCAACAUGGCAGCCAUGACUGUUUCCUGAGUACCCUUCAGCUGAAGAGGAACUCCUCUUAGAAACUCAGCCUCGACCAUCCUAGUUCAUCUUGAGGCUGUAUGAACGCCCUUGACUUCCAGAAAAGAAAAGCACAGAGGGAGCUUGGGGAAGAUCUUCUGUAUUUGUGGUGGCUCUUAUCCAAGAAGGCCCCUCGCACACUGAACACAGCUGACCUGCGUAAUCCCUGGGAUGAUGUGGAAAUGACAGCAUGACUUCGGACACUAGAUUAAGUAAGACCUUGUGGCUUCUGCCUUGUUCUUUCUUGGGUCACUCUCCCUGGAAGAAACCAGCCACCGGGUUGUGAGGUGGUACCCUGUGGGGAGGCCCGCAUGCCACCAGCAGCCAACACUUGGCUUGCCAGCCAUGCAGGCGACCAGAUCUUCCAGUCCCAGUCAAGCCUUCAGAUGACGACAGCACCAAAAACCAUCUUGACUGAACCUUGUUAGUGAGCACCUGGCUAAGCCGUGCUCCCAUUCCUGACCCACAGAAAUUGUGUGAGAUGAUAAACGUUUACUGUUUUAUGCUGCCAAGACUCUGGGGGAAUUUGUUAUGCAGCCAUGGGUGACUGUUAUAGUAUCUGAAUCCACACGUGCCGGAGCAGAGUGGGGCACUCCAGCACAAAGAGAGGUACUAUGGUGAUGUCAUAACUAAUCACGGAUUGUCACAGAGCUCUGUAAAUAGAGGAUAAUUUGACCCCAAACAAGGUGGGAUGUUAGUAAGGAAACGGAGUGGGAGUUUCUUUGACAUGGUUCUGACUCACCCAGGGAUUCCUCACUCCGGUUUCCUUUUCUUGCCAUCUCUGCUUGUGUAAGCACAUCUCGGACUGUAUUUACAAAUCAAAAUCAGAAAGCCUCAGAUCUCUCUCACCCUGAGAACUUAUCAUCUAAAAUCACAACCAGGAGGCCUAAAUAAAGAGAAACGAAGGAACAAAAGGAAGAAAAAGGAACGUUUUGGUCUCCCACUGCCCUUUCUCUUUCUAUUAAAAUACUUGUCCAUCACGGU
This is a long non-coding RNA of Acinonyx jubatus (cheetah), 1184 nucleotides long. RefSeq lists it as uncharacterized. Lineage: Eukaryota; Metazoa; Chordata; Mammalia; Carnivora; Felidae. The transcript is spliced from 3 exons. The record is from RefSeq and is a predicted model, not a curated record.